Molecule: long non-coding RNA, 997 nt
Organism: Mauremys mutica (yellowpond turtle)
Lineage: Eukaryota; Metazoa; Chordata; Testudines; Geoemydidae
Exons: 4
Source: RefSeq, a predicted model, not a curated record
UCUUGGAAACAGUCAUGUCCUAUUAGGCCUUUAUGUGCUUUAGAGAGAAUCAUUUAUGCCUUGAUUUAUACCAGGAAGGGACAAGUCAGUGCACAAGAACUUGCUGCCAGUUUACUAGCACCUAUGCCCACCGGAGAGGUUUUUUAAGGAACUUGAAGAAAAGGGCCUCCGAGGAGCAGUCUUGGAAUUGGCUAAGAGCAUCUUUUCAAAAUCCACAAAACUAUCAUCAUCAUCAUCCUGGCAAAUUUCAAAGGGACACAGCCUCCUUGCAGACUGAAUGCCACCUGGAUUGAUCUCUACCUAGGUCCUUAAGAUUCUCAGCGACACCCCUCCCUCCUACUCAGGAGUCAACACUGUCUUGAUUUUAGAAUCAUCUCCUCUAGAUUCCUUGCUCUGAUUACCCACAAUAAAAUUUGAAGAUGUUUCUCCAAAAUAGAGGUGAGUGGAAAAUUACAUCUUUAACUAUAACUAGUCAGUCAUCAGGUACAUAUAUCUCUUGGGCUAUUUCUCUCUCCAGUUCAUCUAUGCAGCAUGAAUUUUAAACUGGGCAAGACUCAGCCUUUUGUUUUGUUUGAACAGGAUCCCAAGUUGCCAAAUAGCACAGGCAUGCCGAUAUUCUUCAGGGGUUCCUUGCACUGAAAGCAGACACCAGCAGAAGUAUAGCUAUGUUUUCAUACUUUACUCAUUACCAUACUAUUUGAUAGCCUUAAGAUAUAUAGGUCUAACUCAUUGGGGGCCAACUUUGGUCAAUAUGAAAAUCUCUGCAGUUCAUGGGAUCCAUGCUAAUAGCUUCAAGCAUCCUUUGCCAUUACAUUUGAAGAUACGGGGCAGAGGCUAUGAGCUGGAGAGAAGACUGCUGAAAAAGCUAAUACUGUAGUUAUAAUGUUCAUUUCUUGAUUGGUUUCAUUCAGUGCCAACAGCAGUAAACCUAAUGGCUCCAUGUGCACUCAUUCUUGUAAAUCAUCCUUAUUUAGACUCAGACAAAAUGUAAGAAAUA